UGAGUGGCGGACGGGUGAGUAACGCGUGGGCAACCUGCCCUGUACAGGGGGACAACACUUAGAAAUAGGUGCUAAUACCGCAUAACGGGGGGAGCCGCAUGGCACCCCCCUGAAAACUCCGGUGGUACAGGAUGGGCCCGCGUCUGAUUAGCUGGUUGGCAGGGUAACGGCCUACCAAGGCGACGAUCAGUAGCCGGCCUGAGAGAGUGAACGGCCACAUUGGGACUGAGACACGGCCCAAACUCCUACGGAAGGCAGCAG
This 261-nucleotide ribosomal RNA is filed under the name uncultured bacterium. Its description in RNAcentral is "partial 16S ribosomal RNA". It matches the Rfam family "Bacterial small subunit ribosomal RNA", at positions 92 to 354 of the family's 1533-position model. The record is from RNAcentral.